AGCGAACGCUGGCGGCAGGCUUAACACAUGCAAGUCGAACGGGCGUAGCAAUACGUCAGUGGCAGACGGGUGAGUAACGCGUGGGAACGUACCUUUUGGUUCGGAACAACCCAGGGAAACUUGGGCUAAUACCGGAUAAGCCCUUACGGGGAAAGAUUUAUCGCCGAAAGAUCGGCCCGCGUCUGAUUAGCUAGUUGGUGAGGUAACGGCUCACCAAGGCGACGAUCAGUAGCUGGUCUGAGAGGAUGAUCAGCCACAUUGGGACUGAGACACGGCCCAAACUCCUACGGGAGGCAGCAGUGGGGAAUAUUGGACAAUGGGCGCAAGCCUGAUCCAGCCAUGCCGCGUGAGUGAUGAAGGCCCUAGGGUUGUAAAGCUCUUUUGUGCGGGAAGAUAAUGACGGUACCGCAAGAAUAAGCCCCGGCUAACUUCGUGCCAGCCGCCGCCGU
This 449-nucleotide ribosomal RNA is filed under the name uncultured bacterium. RNAcentral describes it as "bacterial SSU rRNA". It matches the Rfam family "Bacterial small subunit ribosomal RNA", at positions 29 to 521 of the family's 1533-position model. The record is from RNAcentral.